CAGCCGCCGCGGUAACACCGGCAGCUCUAGUGGUAGCUGUUUUAUUGGGCCUAAAGCGUUCGUAGCCGGUUUAAUAAGUCUCUGGUGAAAUCCUAUAGCUUAACUGUGGGAAUUGCUGGAGAUACUAUUAGACUUGAGAUCGGGAGAGGUCAGAGGUACUCCUGGGGUAGGGGUGAAAUCCUGUAAUCCUAGGAGGACCACCUGUGGCGAAGGCGUCUGACUAGAACGAAUCUGACGGUGGGGAACGAGAGCUAGGGGCGCGAACCGGAUUAGAUACCCGGGUAGUCCUAGCCGUAAACUAUGCGGACUUGGUGUGAGGGUGGCUUUGAGCCGUCCUGGUGCCGAAGGGAAGCUGUUAAGUCCGCCGCCUGGGAAGUACGGUCGCAAGACUGAAACUUAAAGGAAUUGGCGGGGGAGCGCCACAACGCGUGGAGCCUGCGGUUUAAUUGGAUUCAACGCCGGAGAUCUCACCAGCGGCGACAGCAGUAUGAUGACCAGGUUGAUGACUUUGUUUGACAAGCUGAGAAGAGGUGCAUGG
Molecule: ribosomal RNA, 538 nt
Filed under: uncultured archaeon
Lineage: Archaea
Description: bacterial SSU rRNA
Rfam family: Archaeal small subunit ribosomal RNA
Source: RNAcentral